RNAcentral lists this long non-coding RNA (311 nucleotides) under Elaeis guineensis (African oil palm). Its description in RNAcentral is "long non-coding RNA (EGUI_LNC023556)". The record is from RNAcentral. Lineage: Eukaryota; Viridiplantae; Streptophyta; Magnoliopsida; Arecales; Arecaceae.
UUGAGUCGAUGAGUCAUCAUCUCCGGGGGGAUGCCGGACAUAUCCGCUGCUGACCAAGCGAAUAUAUCAGCAUUGGCCUUCAGCAGCUCCACUAGCUGUCGUUGCUCAGGGUCAGAUAAUUGGGAUCCGACCCAGACCACUCGAUCAGGAUCUUCUGCUAUCAGGAUGGAAACCAGCUGUUCGGCCAGUUCGCCCCGUUCCUCCUCUCCCCACUGGUCCAGCCUGUCGGUCGUCAGGGAGUCCUUCGCUUGGUUACUUCGAGCAGAGAUUUGGAAGCAUCGUCGGGUGAGCUGUUGGUCCCCGCGCAUCUC